RNAcentral lists this ribosomal RNA (690 nucleotides) under Triticum aestivum (bread wheat). RNAcentral's name for it is "partial small subunit ribosomal RNA". The record is from RNAcentral. Lineage: Eukaryota; Viridiplantae; Streptophyta; Magnoliopsida; Poales; Poaceae.
GCAGCUGUGGUGGGCAACAACUUCCUAGCCCACAACCUGACCAUCGAGAACGCGGCCGGCCCGUCCAAGCACCAGGCGGUGGCGCUCCACGUUGGCGCCGACCUCUCGGCCUUUUACCCGUGCAGCUUCAUGGGCUACUAGGACACCCUCUACGUGCACUCGCUCCGGCAGUUCUUCCGCGAGUGCGACAUCUACGGCACCAUCGACUUCGUCUUCGGCAAUUCCACCGCCAUGCUCCAGAGUUGCAACCUCUACGCCCCCCUCCCCAACCAGAGCAACACCUACACGACACAGGGCCGGACCGAUCCCAAACAGAACACUGGCAUCUUCGUCCAGAAGUGCAAGGUGGACGCCGCCUCUGACCUCGCCGCAGUGCAGUCCAGCUUCAGGACCUACCUCGGCCGGCCGUGGAAGCAGUACCGACGCACCGUGUUCAUGCAGUCUGAGCUCGACAUCGUCGUCGGCCCCGCCGGCUGGCUCGCGUGGGACGGCACAUUCACGCUCGACACGCUCUACUACGCCGAGUACCAGAACACAGGGCCCGGCGCCAGCACGUCCGGUCGGGUUGCGUGGAAGGGGUGCCACGGCAUCAUUAGCGCGUCUGAGGCCAGCACCUUCACGGUGGGGUCCUUCAUCGACGGCGACGUCUGGCUCGCCGGCACAUCCAUCCCGUUCUCCGGCGGGUUGUGA